Molecule: ribosomal RNA, 546 nt
Filed under: uncultured bacterium
Lineage: Bacteria
Description: partial 16S ribosomal RNA
Rfam family: Bacterial small subunit ribosomal RNA
Source: RNAcentral
CUAAGAAUAUUCCGCAAUGGACGGAAGUCUGACGGAGCGACGCCGCGUGGAUGACGAAGGCCGAAAGGUUGUAAAGUUCUUUUGCUGGGGAAGAAUAACCGCAGGAGGGAAUGCCUGUGGGAUGACAAGAACCGGCGAAUAAGCCCCGGCCAACUACGUGCCAGCAGCCGCGGUAACACGUAGGGGGCGAGCGUUGUUCGGAAUUACUGGGCGUAAAGGGCAUGUAGGCGGCUUGGAAAGCCUGGCGUGAAAGUCUGCAGCUUAACUGCAGGGGUGCGCUGGGAACUGCUGAGCUUGAGUGACGGAGAGGGAGCUGGAAUCCCUGGUGUAGGGGUGAAAUCUGUAGAUAUCAGGAAGAACACCGAUGGCGAAGGCAAGCUCCUGGCCGAUGACUGACGCUGAGGUGCGAAAGUGUGGGGAUCAAACAGGAUUAGAUACCCUGGUAGUCCACACAGUCAACGAUGUGCACUAGGUGCUGGGGCGGUAGCUUCGGUGCCGGAGCGAACGUGGUAAGUGCACCGCCUGGGGAGUAUGCUCGCAAGGGUG